RNAcentral lists this long non-coding RNA (1424 nucleotides) under Homo sapiens (human). RNAcentral's name for it is "HSALNT0257622". Lineage: Eukaryota; Metazoa; Chordata; Mammalia; Primates; Hominidae. The record is from RNAcentral.
CCAGGUCUGUCUUCACUGCUCUGUGUCCUCUGCUCCUAGAGGCCCAGCCUCUGUGGCGCUGUUACCAGCAGGUAUUGGAGAUCCACAGCUAAGAUGCCAGGACCCCCUAGAAGCCUAGAAAUGGGACUGUUGACAUUUAGGGAUGUGGCCAUAGAAUUCUCUCUGGAGGAGUGGCAACACCUGGACAUUGCACAGCAGAAUUUAUAUAGAAAUGUGAUGUUAGAGAACUACAGAAACCUGGCCUUCCUGGGUGAGGAUAACUUUAAUACAAAAUUCCUCACAUAAACUAAAGCUUUUAUUUUUCUUUAGAAUGUUUUCUGGUAAUUUACGCAUUCAGAUUUCUGUUUUCAAGAAAAUACUGGGGAUUUGUCUGUUGAGAAAGGAAUUUCUUCAAGAUGUUUCAUCUUGACCUGAACUUUCCACAUUCCUGAGCUAAUCUGUGUCCUGCACUUUAGAUUAAGGCUAAUUUCAGAAGUUUAGUGGCAUAAAAUAUUGUUACAUCUUAAAAUCCAUUUGGCAUCACCAAUUUUUGAUUCAGUAGUACCAGGCAGUGAAAUUAAGAACCUAAAAAAUUAAAAUAUUUCCUAAAUAUUUAAAAAUUUCUGUUAUAAAUUAGUGUAUUAGAAUAACUUUGUUAGCAUAUUCUAUUAUAUCCUCCUUACUGAGCACAUUACUAAGUUGGUAAUUGGAGAAUAUAAGCAAGAUUCAUUUAGUUAUUUUUAAUAAAACAGGUAUUGCUGUCUCUAAGCCAGACCUGAUCACCUGUCUGGAACAAGGGAAAGAGCCCUGGAAUAUGAAGCGACAUGAGAUGGUGGAUGAACCCCCAGGUAGGUGAGAGUGAAUACAACAGAUGACAUGGAUGAGAGGUCCAAAGUCAAGAAGAAAGCCACUCUUUAAAGUGAUUUAAGAAGCUGUGAUCCAAAGGAAAUAGUUUCUGGGAAGCCUAAAUUUUUUUUUUAAAUUAUACUCUCACAUAGGGGCAUCUUCUGCUUAUGCCUAUAAAAUCUAAGAAUUCUACUUUCCCUUCAAUGAUCUUCCUCCAAGUUUACAGUGACAGCCGAAGUACUGUUCAUGGCAUACAAAAGAGUGUACAAUCUGACUUCUUUUUUCUUGUUUUGUGGACAGACAGAUCUGUCUCCAUAAUUUUGAGAUACUGUAUGUUAAACUGUUUUUUAAGUUCUCUUUUUGCAUCAUGUCUGAAAUGUGUGAGAGUAGUAGUUUCUGUUAUAUUGGGUUUUUUCUUUUUGGUUUAUUUUUCUGCACAUUUCAUCCUGUUUUCAUUACUGUAGUCUUGAAAUAUAGUUUGAAAGUACAAAGUAGGAUGUCCUUCUGCUUUGUUCUUUUUCCUCAAGAUUGCUUUGACUAUUCAAAGUUUAUUGUAGUUUCAUGUCCAUUUUAGGAUUGGAUUUUUCAUUACUGUGAAG